UGGAUCAAUCAUGACUACCGGUAUUGGGUGGGUCUUAGUCAGUGAAUACCUAUCUGGAACUCUGACGUCCAU
Cercocebus atys (sooty mangabey) is the source of this 72-nucleotide small nucleolar RNA. Ensembl annotates it as small nucleolar RNA, C/D box 114-30. Its record names the gene SNORD114-30. The record is from Ensembl. NCBI's taxonomy places the organism in Eukaryota, Metazoa, Chordata, Mammalia, Primates, Cercopithecidae.